AGUGGCGGACGGGUGAGUAACGCGUAAGAAUCUAACUUCAGGACGGGGACAACAGUUGGAAACGACUGCUAAUACCCGAUGUGCCGCAAGGUGAAACCUAAUUGGCCUGGAGAAGAGCUUGCGUCUGAUUAGCUAGUUGGUGGGGUAAAGGCCUACCAAGGCGACGAUCAGUAGCUGGUCUGAGAGGAUGAGCAGCCACACUGGGACUGAGACACGGCCCAGACUCCUACGGGAGGCAGCAGUGGGGAAUUUUCCGCAAUGGGCGAAAGCCUGACGGAGCAACGCCGCGUGAGGGAGGAAGGUCUUUGGAUUGUAAACCUCUCUUCUCAAGGGAGAAGUUCUGACGGUACUUGAGGAAUCAGCCUCGGCUAACUCCGUGCCAGCAGCCGCGGUAAUACGGGGGAGGCAAGCGUUAUCCGGAAUUAUUGGGCGUAAAGCGUCCGCAGGUGGUCAGCCAAGUCUGCCGUCAAAUCAGGUUGCUUAACGACCUAAAGGCGGUGGAAACUGGCAGACUAGAGAGCAGUAGGGGUAGCAGGAAUUCCCAGUGUAGCGGUGAAAUGCGUAGAGAUUGGGAAGAACAUCGGUGGCGAAAGCGUGCUACUGGGCUGUAUCUGACACUCAGGGACGAAAGCUAGGGGAGCGAAGGGGAUUAGAUACCCCUGUAGUCCUAGCCGUAAACGAUGGAUACUAGGCGUGGCUU
Molecule: ribosomal RNA, 700 nt
Filed under: uncultured bacterium
Lineage: Bacteria
Description: bacterial SSU rRNA
Rfam family: Bacterial small subunit ribosomal RNA
Source: RNAcentral